GUUGGGUAGGGGAGCGUUCUGUAAGCCUGCGAAGGUGUACUGUGAGGUAUGCUGGAGGUAUCAGAAGUGCGAAUGCUGACAUAAGUAACGAUAAUGCGGGUGAAAAACCCGCACGCCGGAAGACCAAGGGUUCCUGUCCAACGUUAAUCGGGGCAGGGUGAGUCGACCCCUAAGGCGAGGCUGAAAAGCGUAGUCGAUGGGAAACGGGUUAAUAUUCCCGUACUGGUGGUAACUGCGAUGGGGGAACGGAGAAGGCUAGGUUGUCCGGGCGACGGUCGUCCCGGUUCAAGCAGGUAGGCAGAGUGAUUAGGCAAAUCCGGUCACUUAAUGCUGAGAUGUGAUGACGAACCACCAAGGUGGUGAAGCAAUUGAUGCCCCGCUUCCAGGAAAAGCCUCUAAGCUUCAGGUUACCAACAAUCGUACCCCAAACCGACACAGGUGGUCAGGUAGAGAAUACUCAGGCGCUUGAGAGAACUCGGGUGAAGGAACUAGGCAAAAUGGUGCCGUAACUUCGGGAGAAGGCACGCUGGCGGUAGGUAAAGUCCCUCGCGGACGGCGCUGAAGCCAGUCGAAGAUACCAGCUGGCUGCAACUGUUUAUUAAAAACACAGCACUGUGCAAACACGAAAGUGGACGUAUACGGUGUGACGCCUGCCCGGUGCUGGAAGGUUAAUUGAUGGGGUUAGCGCAAGCGAAGCUCCUGAUCGAAGCCCCAGUAAACGGCGGCCGUAACUAUAACGGUCCUAAGGUAGCGAAAUUCCUUGUCGGGUAAGUUCCGACCUGCACGAAUGGCGUAAUGAUGGCCAGGCUGUCUCCACCCGAGACUCAGUGAAAUUGAACUCGCUGUGAAGAUGCAGUGUACCCGCGGCAAGACGGAAAGACCCCGUGAACCUUUACUAUAGCUUGACACUGAACAUUGAGCCUUGAUGUGUAGGAUAGGUGGGAGGCUUUGAAGUGUGGACGCCAGUCUGCAUGGAGCCAACCUUGAAAUACCACCCUUUAACGUUUGAUGUUCUAACCUAGGCCCAUAAACUGGGUCGGGGACCGUGUCUGGUGGGUAGUUUGACUGGGGCGGUCUCCUCCUAAAGAGUAACGGAGGAGCACGAAGGUUGGCUAAGCAUGGUCGGACAUCAUGCGGUUAGUGCAAAGGCAUAAGCCAGCUUGACUGCGAGAGUGACGGCUCGAGCAGGUACGAAAGUAGGUCUUAGUGAUCCGGUGGUUCUGAAUGGAAGGGCCAUCGCUCAACGGAUAAAAGGUACUCCGGGGAUAACAGGCUGAUACCGCCCAAGAGUUCAUAUCGACGGCGGUGUUUGGCACCUCGAUGUCGGCUCAUCACAUCCUGGGGCUGAAGUAGGUCCCAAGGGUAUGGCUGUUCGCCAUUUAAAGUGGUACGCGAGCUGGGUUUAGAACGUCGUGAGACAGUUCGGUCCCUAUCUGCCGUGGGCGUUGGAAGAUUGAGAGGGGUUGCUCCUAGUACGAGAGGACCGGAGUGAACGCACCACUGGUGUUCGGGUUGUCAUGCCAAUGGCAUUGCCCGGUAGCUAAGUGCGGAAGAGAUAACCGCUGAAAGCAUCUAAGCGGGAAACUUGCCUCGAGAUGAGUCUUCCCUGUCGCUUUAAGCGACCUAAAGGAACGUUUAAGACUAAGACGUUGAUAGGCUGGGUGUGUAAGCGUAGCGAUACGUUGAGCUAACCA
RNAcentral lists this ribosomal RNA (1694 nucleotides) under Proteus mirabilis. RNAcentral's name for it is "partial 23S ribosomal RNA". It matches the Rfam family "Bacterial large subunit ribosomal RNA", at positions 1223 to 2897 of the family's 2925-position model. Lineage: Bacteria; Pseudomonadati; Pseudomonadota; Gammaproteobacteria; Enterobacterales; Morganellaceae. The record is from RNAcentral.